GAUGAACGCUGGCGGCGUGCCUAAUACAUGCAAGUCGAGCGAACGGACGAGAAGCUUGCUUCUCUGAUGUUAGCGGCGGACGGGUGAGUAACACGUGGAUAACCUACCUAUAAGACUGGGAUAACUUCGGGAAACCGUAGCUAAUACCGGAUAAUAUUUUGAACCGCAUGGUUCAAAAGUGAAAUACGUUCUUGCUGUCACUUAUAGAUGGAUCCGCGCUGCAUUAGCGAGUUGGUAAGGUAACGGCUUACCAAGGCAACGAUGCAUAGCCGACCUGAGAGGGUGAUCGGGCACACUGGAACUGAGACACGGUCCAGACUCCUACGGGAGGCAGCAGUAGGGAAUCUUCCGCGAUGGGCGAAAGCCUGACGGAGCAACGCCGCGUGAGUGCUGAAGGUCUUCGUAUCGUAAAACUCUGUUAUUAGGGAAGAACAUAUGUGUAAGUAACUGUGCACAUCUUGACGGUACCUAAACAGAAAGCCACGGCUAACUACGUG
Molecule: ribosomal RNA, 497 nt
Filed under: uncultured bacterium
Lineage: Bacteria
Description: partial 16S ribosomal RNA
Rfam family: Bacterial small subunit ribosomal RNA
Source: RNAcentral